RNAcentral lists this ribosomal RNA (448 nucleotides) under uncultured bacterium. RNAcentral's name for it is "partial 16S ribosomal RNA". It matches the Rfam family "Bacterial small subunit ribosomal RNA", at positions 29 to 523 of the family's 1533-position model. The record is from RNAcentral.
AAUGAACGCUGGCGGCAGGCCUAACACAUGCAAGUCGAACGGAUCCUUCGGGAUUAGUGGCGGACGGGUGAGUAACGCGUGGGAACAUACCCUUUGGUACGGAAUAGCCUCGGGAAACUGGGAGUAAUACCGUAUGUGGUCGAGAGACGAAAGAUUUAUCGCCAAAGGAUUGGCCCGCGUUGGAUUAGGUAGUUGGUGGGGUAAUGGCCUAGCAAGCCGACGAUCCAUAGCUGGUUUGAGAGGAUGAUCAGCCACACUGGGACUGAGACACGGCCCAGACUCCUACGGGAGGCAGAAGUGGGGAAUCUUAGACAAGGGGGAAACCCUGAUCUAGCCAUGCCGCGUGAUCGAUGAAGGCCUUAGGGUUGUAAAGAUCUUUCAGGUGGGAAGAUAAUGACUGUACCACCAGAAGAAGCCCCGGCUAACUCCGUGCCAGCCGCCGCGGUAA